GAAGGCCCCACUGUCUUAAGAGAAUUCCCAGUGAAAUUGAAUUCGUAGUGAAGAUGCUACGUCCAAUUUGUUAGACGAAAAGACCCCAUUGAGCUUUACUGGAGACUUACAUUGCUCGGAUCGACUCUCGCCCCCCCCCAUGGCGGGGGGGGGGGGGUCGAAUUUAAAUGGAUAGCUUAGAUUAUGUGGUGUCAUAACUAUCGAUCAAGUAGUCCCUACGGGAUUGCCCCGAAGGUUGACCUGUUUGGGUGAAUGAAACCCCACUCUUUUAUGUUAAAUGAGCUAACCCCUUCUCUCUUAAGGGGGACAAUGUAAGUUGGACAGUUUGGUUGGGGCGACCGCCUUUUAAAGAGUAACGAAGGUGUGCUUAAGGUACACAAUUAAUAUCAGUAGCCUGACUGCGAGGGGGAUUACCCCGAGCAGACACCUAAAGUCUUUUCCCUUCCCCCCGAAGGUUAAAGACGAAUGGUGGGUUAUAGUGACCCGUUAAUUUAGAGUGGAAUAGUUAACGAUCAACAAAUAAAAGUUACCAUGGGGA
This 538-nucleotide ribosomal RNA is filed under the name Epizoanthus sp. 'Deep Mediterranea' 1. RNAcentral describes it as "partial 16S ribosomal RNA". It matches the Rfam family "Bacterial large subunit ribosomal RNA", at positions 2006 to 2474 of the family's 2925-position model. RNAcentral also lists the same sequence under 1 other name. The record is from RNAcentral. Lineage: Eukaryota; Metazoa; Cnidaria; Anthozoa; Zoantharia; Epizoanthidae.